GAUGAACGCUGGCGGCGUGCUUAACACAUGCAAGUCGAACGGUGAAGCAGGAGCUUGCUCUUGUGGAUCAGUGGCGAACGGGUGAGUAACACGUGAGAAAUCUGCCCUUGACUCUGGGAUAACUGCGGGAAACUGUAGCUAAUACCGGAUAUUUUCCUUGGUGGGCAUCCACUGGGGAAGAAAGAAUUUCGGUCAAGGAUGAUCUCGCGGCCUAUCAGCUAGUUGGUGAGGUAAUGGCUCACCAAGGCGACGACGGGUAGCCGGCCUGAGAGGGUGACCGGCCACACUGGGACUGAGACACGGCCCAGACUCCUACGGGAGACAGCAGUGGGGAAUAUUGCACAAUGGGCGCAAGCCUGAUGCAGCAACGCCGCGUGAGGGAUGAAGGCCUUCGGGUUGUAAACCUCUUUUAGCAGGGAAGAAGCGAAAGUGACGGUACCUGCAGAAAAAGCACCGGCUAACUACGUGCCAGCCGCCGCCGUAA
RNAcentral lists this ribosomal RNA (484 nucleotides) under uncultured bacterium. RNAcentral's name for it is "partial 16S ribosomal RNA". It matches the Rfam family "Bacterial small subunit ribosomal RNA", at positions 28 to 523 of the family's 1533-position model. The record is from RNAcentral.